UGGGUUUGACAUCCUCUGACUGCCCCGGAAACGGGGUUUUUCCGACUCUGUCGGAACAGAGUGACAGGUGCUGCAUGGCUGUCGUCAGCUCGUGUCGUGAGAUGUUGGGUUAAGUCCCGCAACGAGCGUAACCCUUGUCUUUAGUUGCCAGUAUUAGGUUAGGCACUCUAAAGAGACUGCCUCGGUUAACGGGGAGGAAGGUGGGGAUGACGUCAAGUCCUCAUGGCCUUUAUACCCAGGGCUACACACGUGCUACAAUGGGCUGUACAAAGGGUUGCCACUCCGCGAGGAGGCGCUAAUCCCAAAAAGCAGUCCUCAGUUCGGAUUGGAGUCUGCAACUCGACUCCAUGAAGG
RNAcentral lists this ribosomal RNA (354 nucleotides) under uncultured bacterium. RNAcentral describes it as "bacterial SSU rRNA". It matches the Rfam family "Bacterial small subunit ribosomal RNA", at positions 976 to 1325 of the family's 1533-position model. The record is from RNAcentral.